RNAcentral lists this transfer RNA (66 nucleotides) under Scoloplos cf. armiger CB-2006. RNAcentral describes it as "tRNA-Ser". Lineage: Eukaryota; Metazoa; Annelida; Polychaeta; Orbiniidae. The record is from RNAcentral.
AAACAAGUCGGAGACAAAAGAAGGUUUCUAACCCUCCUUUGAAACGUUUAAUUCGUUUCUUGUUUU